RNAcentral lists this long non-coding RNA (953 nucleotides) under Brassica rapa (field mustard). Its description in RNAcentral is "long non-coding RNA (BRAP_LNC007576)". The record is from RNAcentral. Lineage: Eukaryota; Viridiplantae; Streptophyta; Magnoliopsida; Brassicales; Brassicaceae.
GAAUGGUAACUUUAAGAUAGAAAAACUGCACUUGUGGGUGAACUGUCUUUCUCCCAUUACACUAUUCGAACACUAAAACAAUCCUUUACUUUUGAACUUGUUCUUUUUAUUCUUAGAUAGUAGAUACCAAAGAAAGCUUUAUAACAAGAAAAAAAAAAUCCUUAUAACAAGAAGCAAAAAUGUUCCUCAAAUUUCCCACCACAAAAAAUGUUCCUUAUAACAAAAAAUCCUUGUGAAAGCACUGUAGCUUAGUGGUUAAGGUUUAAAGGCUUUUAUACCCAGGUCUGGGGUUCAAAUUUCAUGCUAUGCAAUUUCUUGCAGAUUGCGCAUUAUAGGAGGUCUAGGUUUCAAUUCCCGGAGAAAGCGAUUUAUUAAACAAUUAUGCAGACUAUGAAAAAAAAGCUUACAAGGGAUCUUCAACAUGGUGUAAGUAAAUCUGGUCAGACGUAGGUCAGACGUAGGUCUUCGUAGGACGGUUCAGAUGAUGCAGUUAGGCGUAGAUCCUCUUAAGGUAUAUAGUAUUGUCGGUUGUCGAAUCAUAUAUGUAAUCUUUUCAUAAUUAUAAUAUCAUAAUAAAUCAGCGUUAAAAAAAGAAGAAAAAUCCUUACUCAAAAAUCAUAAAACAAGAUCUAUAUGGGAAAGAAACAAAAAUGGAAAACACUUUCUCAAAAAAAAAAAAAUGGACCGAAGGAAACAUAUAUAAAGUGCUUAAACAGCCACUAAGACUAAACAAUUUAAAAAUAAAAUGUAGAAGGAUGACAUGCAUAAAUCUAGAAAUGGUCUAAAUUGUUUUUUCUAAAAGAAAAGGAAUAAGUAUAUGAGUUUCAUACUGAUGUGAAGUGCAGACUACUGAAAUAUUAUCUCUUCUUUACAUGUAACUAAAGAAGGAUAAAACUAACAUCCUAUAAUAUUAUAUAAUAAAUCAAUUUUGUACAUGUAGCACUUAAUUUUUA